Molecule: transfer RNA, 85 nt
Organism: Felis catus (domestic cat)
Lineage: Eukaryota; Metazoa; Chordata; Mammalia; Carnivora; Felidae
Rfam family: tRNA
About the family: Transfer RNA (tRNA) molecules are approximately 80 nucleotides in length. Their secondary structure includes four short double-helical elements and three loops (D, anti-codon, and T loops).
Source: Rfam
GCCUGGGUGGCUCAGUUGGUUAAGCUUCUGACUUCGGCUCAGGUAGUGAUCUCACAGUUUGUGAGUUUGAGCCCCACAUCAGGCU